UUUGAUUCUGGCUCAGGGAAGUCGUAACAAGGUAACACSKGAGUUUKAUCAUGGCUCAGAGSGAAYKCYGGCGGSRUGCCWAMYMCRUGCMARUCKARSGAKAAWSGGGKCSCWAGACCYYCAGUACAGUGGCGAACGGGUGAGUAACACGUGGGUAACCUGCCCUCGGGUUCGGAAUAACCUGCCGAAAGGCGGGCUAAUACCGGAUGACGACAUGGGGUCCUCGGACUUCAUGCCCAAAGCUGACCUCUUCAUGAAAGUUGGCACCUGGGGAGGGGCCCGCGUCCCAUUAGCUAGUUGGUGAGGUAACGGCUCACCAAGGCUACGAUGGGUAGCCGGCCUGAGAGGGCGACCGGCCACAGUGGAACUGAGACACGGUCCACACUCCUACGGGAGGCAGCAGUGAGGAAUCUUGCGCAAUGGGCGAAAGCCUGACGCAGCGACGCCGCGUGGACGAUGAAGGCCUUCGGGUCGUAAAGUCCUGUCGGGUGGGAAGAAUUGGCUUGGGGCUAAUAUCCCCAGGUCUUGACUGUACCACCAGAGGAAGCCCCGGCUAACUCCGUGCCAGCAGCCGCGGUAAUACGGAGGGGGCCAGCGUUGCUCGGAAUUAUUGGGCGUAAAGGGCGCGUAGGCGGCCAGGUAAGUCUGAUGUGAAAUCCCACGGCUUAACCGUGGAAUUGCAUCUUAUACUGCCUGGCUGGAGUCUGGGGAGAGGGAAGCGGAAUUUCCCGGUGUAGCGGUGAAAUGCGUAGAUAUCGGGAGGAACACCAGUGGCGAAAGCGGCUUCCYUGGACCAGUACUGACGCUGAAGGCGCGAAAGCUAGGGUAGCAAACAGGAUUAGAUACCCUGGUAGUCCUAGUCUUAACGAUGUGCACUUGGUGWUGGGGGGUAUCGACCYCCUCCAGUGCCGAAGCU
This 916-nucleotide ribosomal RNA is filed under the name uncultured bacterium. Its description in RNAcentral is "partial 16S ribosomal RNA". It matches the Rfam family "Bacterial small subunit ribosomal RNA", at positions 1 to 853 of the family's 1533-position model. The record is from RNAcentral.